UACGGAGGGUGCAAGCGUUAAUCGGAAUUACUGGGCGUAAAGCGCACGCAGGCGGUCUGUUAAGUCAGAUGUGAAAUCCCCGGGCUUAACCUGGGAACUGCAUUUGAAACUGGCAGGCUUGAGUCUUGUAGAGGGGGGUAGAAUUCCAGGUGUAGCGGUGAAAUGCGUAGAGAUCUGGAGGAAUAACGGUGGCGAAGGCGGCCCCCUGGACAAAGACUGACGCUCAGGUGCGAAAGCGUGGGGAGCAAACAGG
This 253-nucleotide ribosomal RNA is filed under the name uncultured bacterium. Its description in RNAcentral is "partial 16S ribosomal RNA". It matches the Rfam family "Bacterial small subunit ribosomal RNA", at positions 524 to 776 of the family's 1533-position model. The record is from RNAcentral.